AUUGAACGCUGGCGGCAGGCCUAACACAUGCAAGUCGAACGGUAGCACAGAGAGCUUGCUCUUGGGUGACGAGUGGCGGACGGGUGAGUAAUGUCUGGGAAACUGCCUGAUGGAGGGGGAUAACUACUGGAAACGGUAGCUAAUACCGCAUAACGUCGCAAGACCAAAGAGGGGGACCUUCGGGCCUCUUGCCAUCAGAUGUGCCAGAUGGGAUUAGCUAGUAGGUGGGGUAACGGCUCACCUAGGCGACGAUCCCUAGCUGGUCUGAGAGGAUGACCAGCCACACUGGAACUGAGACACGGUCCAGACUCCUACGGGAGCAGCAGUGGGGAAUAUUGCACAAUGGGCGCAAGCCUGAUGCAGCCAUGCCGCGUGUAUGAAGAAGGCCUUGGUGUAAGUACUUUCAGCGAGGAGGAAGGCGA
RNAcentral lists this ribosomal RNA (422 nucleotides) under uncultured bacterium. RNAcentral's name for it is "bacterial SSU rRNA". It matches the Rfam family "Bacterial small subunit ribosomal RNA", at positions 30 to 454 of the family's 1533-position model. The record is from RNAcentral.